Molecule: ribosomal RNA, 425 nt
Filed under: uncultured bacterium
Lineage: Bacteria
Description: partial 16S ribosomal RNA
Rfam family: Bacterial small subunit ribosomal RNA
Source: RNAcentral
GUGGGGAAUAUUGGACAAUGGGCGAAAGCCUGAUCCAGCAAUGCCGCGUGAGUGAUGAAGGCCUUAGGGUUGUAAAGCUCUUUUACCCGGGAAGAUAAUGACUGUACCGGGAGAAUAAGCCCCGGCUAACUCCGUGCCAGCAGCCGCGGUAAUACGGAGGGGGCUAGCGUUGUUCGGAAUUACUGGGCGUAAAGCGCACGUAGGCGGUUUUGUAAGUUAGAGGUGAAAGCCUGGGGCUCAACCCCAGAAUUGCCUUUAAGACUGCAUCACUUGAACGUCUGAGAGGUGAGUGGAAUUCCGAGUGUAGAGGUGAAAUUCGUAGAUAUUCGGAAGAACACCAGUGGCGAAGGCGGCUCACUGGACGACUGUUGACGCUGAGGUGCGAAAGCGUGGGGAGCAAACAGGAUUAGAAACCCGUGUAGUCC